UUGCCAUGUUGCUUAGGUUGGUCUUGAACUCCUGGCCUCAAACUUGAUCUACCUACCUCAGCCCCCUGAAGUGCUGGGAUUACAGGUGUGAGCCACCACACCUGGGGUUUUUAUUUGAAUUUGGAUGUUAAACUUCUUGUCUUUAGUUCUUAGUUAUAUCUUGUAACAUCUUAAAACAUUUUGCAAUAUUCAUUACUGUCUUUGUCCCUUUCUAUUUCUAUAUAAACAGCCCUAUAACCUUGGGUUUUUUGGUAUUGAUGUCAAGGAAUUCUCUAGUUUUUCUUUCUUGGUAUUUAAUUACAUAUCAGUCCUGCCCUCUUGGGUCUUACAUUUACUAUGGCUAUUUAGAUUUAUCAGCAUUUGCCCUGUAGGUGUUAAUGUUUUGUUUAGCUCUGUAAUUUGCCCUUAAUAUUUAUUGUCAGUUUUUUCCAGUUACAUCUUCUGCCAUCUCUGACUUUAAGCUCCCUUGAUCACCAACCACAGGGCCAUUUGUUUCUAUGGAGUUUAGAAAGUGUGACAAGGAGAGAAAGUCUAGUUGGUUUAGCUCAUCUUGGAUUAGUCAGAGCCCAUGUUACACAUGCUCAAGAAGUGGCCCCUCUUGAACUAAAGUCUACUCUGUUAAAUAGGAAUCUAAACCUGAAAAGAAUAGUCAGGAUAUUUUAAAGCUGGAAAGAAAAUUUGAGUUAGGGAGUCAACUGUUGUUUCUAUGUUAUACUACAGAAAAGCGUUCUUUGUCUCAGCACUGUGAUUUUGAGUCUCCUGAAGUAGAUGGGCAGGAAGCUUACUAAAACUUUUAAGAUUUCUUAUUCUUGCCAAAUAUGAUUGUCUUGAUUGAAUAUAAUCUUGGAUUAAAUUCUCUCUAGUGUGGUACUGCACUGUCUUUAACCAUUGUUUCAGAAACAUGAAUGCUACCCGGAUAUUUAAUGUCUUUAAAAAUUAUAUAUCCUUAGUAGAAAUACACGUUUACCAAACAUUUCACUUGGUUGUGAUAUUAAUGCUAAUAGUUUUGACAGGAGUAUGGACGAGUAUGGUGACUUAUUCUAAUUUAUAAUUUCAGGCCUUCUUAAAUCUUUUUGACAUCUGAUAAUUUAUGGUCCUUUUGAUAUGUAUUCAUUCCGUGGUAAAUUUCUAAUUUUUCUGAAAUUUUAACUCAUUUUCUCAAUUCUAAAAUAUCAAGUCUGCUUUUACUAUUGACAACUGGUCUUGAUAGAGUCAUAGUCUAAAGAUCACGGGCUGUUGAGCCAAAUAGACCUGUUGAAUUCUGGCUGUCAUUUACUGGUGAUUGUUGGUUACUUAAUUGUUCAGUUUCAGUUUUAAAGUGAGAGUAGUUUAUAUUUGUCUUGUCGGAGAGUGAGGAUUAAAUGUAAAAUACAGAUUUAAAAGGCCUGGUUCAUGUUUUAUGAUUGUGCAUCUUCUUUGAAUCUGCCUUGAUUUUGCCCUUGUUGUGAAGGAUCUUUUCAACUUUUUCGUGUGAUCGUCCUAGCUCAUUCUGCUUAGUGUUAGUGGGAUUUGUAUCAUAUUAUUAGAGAUCAUAUGCCAUCUAUCUUAAGUUUUGUGGAAAAAUUCUAAUUCCAAAGAAAUAUCUCUUAGUUAUGUUUCUCUUUUUCUACACUUUAGAACUUUUUAAUAGGUCUGCCCCAGAUUAUUAUUUUUCUCUAUUCAUGCUUGUAUGUUAUUUAUUGUUCUCCAUUGUUACUCUCCAGUGUUAAAGGGACACUUUACAACCCACCUUUAGGGAUCUGAUUAAAAGAAAAAUUCUAUCUAAGUCCAUGGCAAAAGGACAGGUCAAAUAAAGAUAACAUCUUUUAACUUCCUUCUUAUAUUCCAAGUUCUUGACCUCAGUUCAGGAGCUGGUAUUGAGGGAGCAUCUGCAGCACAUUUUUUUUUUUCUUCUUCUUUUUUAUUUCUUCCCUCUCCCUUCCCCUGGAGCACAUUUUAAACAGUGUAAGCAGGUGGGGCUAUCUUGAAGGUUUGCCCCAGCAGCCUGGGUGAAUGAAAGGAGUCUUGGGAGAAAAAAUGAGAUGUAGUCACCACUUUUAACACUUGCCCUUAAAAAAUACUUUUACAACACAGUUUAUAAUGGAAAGAGCAUUAAAAUGGGCAUUAGAAAACUGCCAGUGAUUCUAACCUUAGACAGUCUGUGUGAACUCCCUAAGAUCUGUGUUUUUUUUUUUUUUUUUAAGUGAUAAAAGUGAGGGAAUUGUACUGGACAGUCCUUAAUUGACACAUCCAGAUUUCUGUUAUUGCUUAACCAAAAAUUUAUGAAUUUCAGAAUUGCUUACAGAGUAUCAGGUGCUGGGUACUGAGAGGUACAAAACAAAGUCUAGCCAUAUAAGGGCUAACUUUUAAGUAUUACUAAUUUGGCUCAUUACAAAAAAAAAAAAUGGGAAAACAUGAAGAGAGGGCUUUAUUAAGGAGUUAAGUCAGCAUAAUGGACCACUUAAUAUAUAAUAAAUCACUUAAUAAAAGGGAAAAAGAAAAAUUAGGAAGUCCACAUAAGGUGGCGUUUUAUAAAGGCAGCAUGCUGUGGUUAAGGACACUUGGGUCAUGGAUGUUUUGUGACAGCUGUGCUCAGGCAUCUCAACAAGCAGCAGUGUGCCUGCUGACCAGUAGGGCCUGCCAUGGCCCAUGAAGCCUAGCUGUUAGACCUCUCUUCCAUUUCUGCUCAGAAAUGUAGAGAUGACAGGGGAAAAUAUAGGCAAGUCCCAGGUUCCUUGGAUAUGGCCAGGGCAAGCACUCAAACACUACAACCUGUGCAGUCAGAGCAGAGCAGAGCCUUGUUUCCUUCUUUACUCCUUGUCUCCUACUUUGCUUGUCUUCACCCACUGUCCUGGACUGUCAGGCCCUGGUUCUCAUCCCUAUGUGUGACGAAGCCAUGCUGUCCCAGAGAGAGACAGAACCGCUUGGUAGUCCCAUGCUUUAGUGUCAGAGUUGCACCUUACCUUUGUAUCCAAGAAAUGCAUGCAGCUCACCUUUCCCUUAAAAGGCUUCUAGGAAAAUACUACCCCAGCUUUUUCUUUCCCUAGAAGAAUAUAUUAGCUUAAUAAGAAAAGGUAUGGUAUCAAACUUUCCAUUUAAAAUAGUAGCCUAAGCCACAAAUUUACCUUUCCUGCCCAUAUGUGCCAAAUAGUCAUUGAAAUGAAGAAAUAUACGCUAAAAUCCAAUGUGAUGUUGGAAAAGAGAGAAGGAUACCAUUUCAAAUAUGACAGGUAUUUCUGGAGGUUACAGAGCAAAUGGUAUUAGGUUGUUGGAAUCCCUGAGCUAAAUAAUGGCUGUGAACACGCCAGCUGAGAUUGAUUAUCUCUGCAGUGCCUGGGCUGUAUCCCUAGCUUAGGCAGCAAAAUAGGCUGUGGGCCAGUGGUCUGGUAUCUGAAAGGAUUGCCAAGACAAGUCUUGCAGACCGCAGGCCCAUGAGCCACUGGGAAGUGGAUUUCCCUAAAUCUGGGAGCCAUUUACAGUCACCUGGCUUUUAUGGGCCCUGCAGCCUGAGAAGUGAGUCAGGGUGGCAGGUACUUCUGGUUGCCACGUUAGACAGAAGCACAAGUAUUUGAUGAAGCAGUGGAACUUAAUGUAACUACUGUCUCACUUCGUAACAUUUUACCUACUUCCACAUUUUUCUAAGGGUUGACCCCUUUUCCUACAGUUUCUCUAUAUCCUUGCCACUGACACAUGCAGGCUUAUGCCAAGACAUAGAGGUCAUGCUCACACCACAGUUAACACAUCUCUCUCUGUCAGUGGCUGAGCAGUAUGAAAGACAAUUGCUAAGAAAGCUUUCCUCUCAGCAUACUGAUCACUUUUAAAGUAUAAGUUAGCAAUACUUCCUCAUGUAAAAAUCUUCCAACAGAUUCCCGUCGAAGUACAAAUAAAAUACAAUUUCAUUCCUAGAGCCAAAUAUAAUUUCUCUUUAGUCUCCUUUCUUUCUUUGCUUCAUCCCCCUGGAUGUUAAGGUGAACAAACAUGUUUCCCAUAUAGAAAGUAUGGUAGGCCGAAUUCUGAAGACGUUCCUCCAAGAGACCCAUCCUCUGCUUAUUCAAUCAAAUCUAGGCCCUGCUGAGAAGGGACCUUGCAGAGGUAAUGUGGUUACAGACCUUUAGAUAGGGAGGUUAUCUUGAAUUAUUUGUGUAGGGCCAAUCUAAUUUCGUAAGUACUUAAAAGCAGAGAAUGUUCUCUGGCUGGUUAGAGAAAAGAAAGGCUGAAGAGGCAGAAGAAAGAUGUGGCAGAGAGGAUGUCCACGAUUCCAAGCAUGAGAAGGAUUUGCUCUGCAGUUGCAGCUCCGUGAUGCAGAAGCCCAUGCGCAAGGGCUAGAGAGAAGCCUCCAGAUAACAGCCAACACAAAGCAGAGAUGUCAGUCCUACAGCUGCACGGAAGUGAAUUCUCAGCAACCUAAAUGAGCCAGAAAGCCUCCCCAAGAGAUUCCAGAUGAGAGUCCAGGUCAGCGGACACCUUGAUUUCAGUCUUUAGAACCCGGAGCAGAGAAACCAGUAGAGCCUCCCAGACUUCUGAUACACAAACUGUGGGUUCUAAGCUGGUAAGUUUAUGGUAGUUUGUUAUCACGGCAAUGUGGGGUGGGAACAUUACACUGUUCUUUGAGUUUGGAAAGCUCUUCCUUACAGCUUCUUCAAGUUGGUAAAAUAUAAUUUCUCCAGCAAGGCCUUCUAUGACCACUGUGAGAUAGCCUCCACUAACUUCCAACACAUGCAUGUCUAUUACUAUCAUAUUUUCCUAUGUUUUUUAUUGGUAGCUGUUACUGACUGAAAAUACUUUUGCUGUGGUUAAGGACACGGGCCAUUGGUGUUUUGUGACAGCUGGGCUCAGUCAUCUCAACGAGCAGCAGUGUCCCUGCUGACCCAAAGGGCCUGCCACAGCAAGUGAAGCCUAGCUGUUAGAGCUCUCUUCAGUAUAGAGCAAUAAACUGGCGAACUAAGCAAGUGCUUCCCUGA
This is a long non-coding RNA of Cebus imitator (Panamanian white-faced capuchin), 4940 nucleotides long. RefSeq lists it as uncharacterized. The transcript is spliced from 2 exons. The record is from RefSeq and is a predicted model, not a curated record. Lineage: Eukaryota; Metazoa; Chordata; Mammalia; Primates; Cebidae.